CAAUAGCGUAUAUUAAAGUUGUUGCAGUUAAAAAGCUCGUAGUUGGAUCUAAGGAUUUGGACGGAUGGUGCGCCUUCGGGUGUAACUGUCUGUCCUGCCUAUCACAGUCGUGGAAACCUUUAGUGCUCUUCAUUGAGUGCUUUUGGUGCCCGACGAAAUUACUUUGAGAAAAUUAGAGUGCUCAAAGCAGGCAUAAUGCUUGUAUACUGUUGCAUGGAAUAAUAAAAUAGGAGUUUUCUUCUAUUUUGUUGGUAUUCGGAAGUGAACUAAUGAUCAAAGGGGACAGACGGGGGCAUUUGUAUGGAGGCGCUAGAGGUGAAAUUCUGUGACCGUCUCCAGACAAUCUACUGCGAAAGCAUUUGCCAGGAAUGUUUUCAUUAAUCAAGAACGAAAGUCAGAGGUU
RNAcentral lists this ribosomal RNA (403 nucleotides) under Platyhelminthes sp. MM00773. RNAcentral's name for it is "SSU rRNA". It matches the Rfam family "Eukaryotic small subunit ribosomal RNA", at positions 592 to 998 of the family's 1831-position model. Lineage: Eukaryota; Metazoa; Platyhelminthes. The record is from RNAcentral. RNAcentral also lists the same sequence under 1 other name.